RNAcentral lists this transfer RNA (73 nucleotides) under Roseimicrobium gellanilyticum. RNAcentral describes it as "tRNA-Met". It matches the Rfam family "tRNA". Rfam says of the family: Transfer RNA (tRNA) molecules are approximately 80 nucleotides in length. Their secondary structure includes four short double-helical elements and three loops (D, anti-codon, and T loops). RNAcentral also lists the same sequence under 1 other name. Lineage: Bacteria; Pseudomonadati; Verrucomicrobiota; Verrucomicrobiia; Verrucomicrobiales; Verrucomicrobiaceae. The record is from RNAcentral.
GGCCCUGUAGCUCAAUGGUUAGAGCAGAGGACUCAUAAUCCUUUGGUUGCCGGUUCGAAUCCGGCCGGGGCUA